This 66-nucleotide transfer RNA is filed under the name Cynoglossus puncticeps (speckled tonguesole). RNAcentral describes it as "tRNA-Ser". The record is from RNAcentral. Lineage: Eukaryota; Metazoa; Chordata; Actinopteri; Pleuronectiformes; Cynoglossidae.
AGAGAGGUAUGUUUACAACAAGAACUGCUAAUUCUUCCCCCUUAGGUUAGAUUCCUAAGCUCACUU